Non-coding RNA from Paramuricea clavata, 152 nucleotides. NCBI's taxonomy places the organism in Eukaryota, Metazoa, Cnidaria, Anthozoa, Malacalcyonacea, Plexauridae. The record is from the annotation of a GenBank genome assembly.
UUAUCAGAGUUGUAACAAGAUUGUUCUAACAAGUCUGAUUCAGUCAUGAUAUAACAAGAAUGUUACAAGUUUGACAUAACAAGGUUGUAACAACAUUGUUAUAUCACGACUGUAACGGGCUUGUUGGAACAACCUUGCAACAAGUACAAUAA